Perca fluviatilis (European perch) is the source of this 202-nucleotide long non-coding RNA. RefSeq lists it as uncharacterized. NCBI's taxonomy places the organism in Eukaryota, Metazoa, Chordata, Actinopteri, Perciformes, Percidae. The transcript is spliced from 3 exons. The record is from RefSeq and is a predicted model, not a curated record.
CGUCCUCAAGGUGAUGCAGUUGGAGGAACUCAUGGCGGUGCGUCAUUCUGUCUUUGUUGUUGGAAAUGCAGGGACUGGGAAAAGCCAGAUAUUGAGAGUUCUCCACAAAACCUAUGUAAACUUGAAGAGGAAGCCGGUAUGGAAUGACCUCAAUCCAAAGGCGGUAGACAGAGAUGAAUUGUUUGGCUUUAUCCAUCACACA